AGCAAGACCAAGAAUUGAUGUAAAAUCAUCUCGCUGGGCUGUCAAUUGCUCAAUCGUUUCCCCUUCCACAAUCACGUCAGUAUGCGGAAAAUUUUCAACAUAUUGAGAGGUCAAAUUUAAUCUCCGGGCAAAACGUCUUUCCAAGACCAUGGCUACAGACUGAGCCACAAUAGCCCCUCGAGCUACAGUUCUCUCAAAUGUUUGGGAAGCUUCAAGGGCAAGACAUUGAAUUGAUAACAUAUCAAUGAGUAUAUAAAUAUCGGAAAAAUGAUGAUUGGAAAGGAAAGCUUGCUCAUCCACUUCACGUGGUCUUUCAGAAGUAUGACAACUUUCACCAAAU
RNAcentral lists this unclassified non-coding RNA (340 nucleotides) under Hevea brasiliensis (rubber tree). Lineage: Eukaryota; Viridiplantae; Streptophyta; Magnoliopsida; Malpighiales; Euphorbiaceae. The record is from RNAcentral.